This 71-nucleotide transfer RNA is filed under the name Marmota monax (woodchuck). Its description in RNAcentral is "tRNA.Val". It matches the Rfam family "tRNA". Rfam says of the family: Transfer RNA (tRNA) molecules are approximately 80 nucleotides in length. Their secondary structure includes four short double-helical elements and three loops (D, anti-codon, and T loops). The record is from RNAcentral. Lineage: Eukaryota; Metazoa; Chordata; Mammalia; Rodentia; Sciuridae.
GGGGCUGUAGCUCAGUGGUAGAGCGCGUGCCUUACACAUAUGAGGCACUGUGUUCAAUCCUCAGCACCACA